Molecule: transfer RNA, 75 nt
Filed under: Candidatus Nomurabacteria bacterium RIFCSPHIGHO2_01_FULL_39_9
Lineage: Bacteria; Candidatus Nomuraibacteriota
Description: tRNA-Glu
Rfam family: tRNA
About the family: Transfer RNA (tRNA) molecules are approximately 80 nucleotides in length. Their secondary structure includes four short double-helical elements and three loops (D, anti-codon, and T loops).
Source: RNAcentral
GGCCCUAUCGUCUAGCCUGGUCUAGGACACAAGCUUCUCAAGCUUGGAACUCGGGUUCAAAUCCCGAUGGGGUCA